This 253-nucleotide unclassified non-coding RNA is filed under the name Patescibacteria group bacterium. RNAcentral describes it as "contains 16S-23S intergenic spacer region". It matches the Rfam family "Bacterial small subunit ribosomal RNA", at positions 524 to 776 of the family's 1533-position model. The record is from RNAcentral.
UACGUAGGGCCCAAGCAUUAUCCGGAUUUACUGGGCGUAAAGAGUGCGUAGGUGUUCCAACAAGUCGGUCGUUAAAUCUCACUGCUCAACAGUGAGGCUGCGAGCGAAACUGUUGGAAUUGAGUGUCGCAGGGGCAAGCAGAAUUUUUGGAGUAGGGGUGAAAUCCGUUGAUACCAAAAGGAAUACCAAUGGCGAAGGCAGCUUGCUAGGCGAACACUGACACUGAGGCACGAAAGCGUGGGGAGCAAACGGG